AGGAAACAGUCUGGAUUCAUCUGUUGCCAGUUAGAGCCAUGGGGCUGUGUGGAGGCCUGGGGAAUCCAGGCCCUUUCUUUCUUCUGGCUGGGAGCACCCGAAUAACGAAGGACCUGCUCCAGCAGGAAAGAGUACCCAUGUCCAUCCCAUACCCCUGACAGCUCAGCCCCGAUUGCUCAUCUGUUUCCAAGUACAGCUGAGACAUUUUGCUGGUGGGCAGAGAAGUCAGGGACUCUGCAUCCAGCACCCUGCAGCAGAGGAAGCAUUAGUAUUGCUGUUGUUAGCCUUGUUAUUUUCUCCUAAUAAAAAGGUGGUCGUGACUCACUCCAUU
This 331-nucleotide long non-coding RNA is filed under the name Junco hyemalis (dark-eyed junco). Its description in RNAcentral is "lncRNA (ENSJHYG00000007990.1)". The record is from RNAcentral. Lineage: Eukaryota; Metazoa; Chordata; Aves; Passeriformes; Passerellidae.